Chryseobacterium sp. is the source of this 28-nucleotide non-coding RNA. The record is from Rfam. Lineage: Bacteria; Pseudomonadati; Bacteroidota; Flavobacteriia; Flavobacteriales; Weeksellaceae.
CAACCUCUGACGAAGUCCGUGAACGUUG